GACGAACGCUGGCGGCGUGCUUAACACAUGCAAGUCGAGCGGUAAGGCCCUUUCGGGGGUACACGAGCGGCGAACGGGUGAGUAACACGUGGGUGACCUGCCCUCAGCUCUGGGAUAAGCCUGGGAAACCGGGUCUAAUACUGGAUAUGACUCCAUGACGCAUGUUGUGGGGUGGAAAGCCUUGUGCGGCUGAGGAUGGGCCCGCGGCCUAUCAGCUUGUUGGUGGGGUGANGGCCUACCAAGGCGAUGACGGGUAGCCGGCCUGAGAGGGCGACCGGCCACACUGGGACUGAGACACGGCCCAGACUCCUACGGGAGGCAGCAGUGGGGAAUCUUGCGCAAUGGGCGAAAGCCUGACGCAGCGACGCCGCGUGAGGGAUGACGGCCUGGUGUAAC
Molecule: ribosomal RNA, 396 nt
Filed under: uncultured bacterium
Lineage: Bacteria
Description: bacterial SSU rRNA
Rfam family: Bacterial small subunit ribosomal RNA
Source: RNAcentral